UGGGGAAUAUUGCACAAUGGGCGAAAGCCUGAUGCAGCGACGCCGCGUGCGGGAUGAAGGCCUUCGGGUUGUAAACCGCUUUUAAUUGGGAGCAAGCGAGAGUGAGUGUACCUUUUGAAUAAGCACCGGCUAACUACGUGCCAGCAGCCGCGGUAAUACGUAGGGUGCAAAGCGUUAUCCGGAAUUAUUGGGCGUAAAGAGCUCGUAGGCGGUUUGUCACGCCUGGUGUGAAAGUCCAUCGCUUAACGGUGGAUCUGCGCCGGGUAUGGGCAGGCUAGAGUGCAGUAGGGGAGAUUGGAAUUCCCGGUGUAACGGUGGAAUGUG
This 324-nucleotide ribosomal RNA is filed under the name uncultured bacterium. RNAcentral describes it as "partial 16S ribosomal RNA". It matches the Rfam family "Bacterial small subunit ribosomal RNA", at positions 355 to 690 of the family's 1533-position model. The record is from RNAcentral.